This 274-nucleotide ribosomal RNA is filed under the name uncultured bacterium. Its description in RNAcentral is "partial 16S ribosomal RNA". It matches the Rfam family "Archaeal small subunit ribosomal RNA", at positions 473 to 747 of the family's 1478-position model. The record is from RNAcentral.
AAACCAGCAUCUCAAGUGGUCAGGAUGAUUAUUGGGCCUAAAGCAUCCGUAGCCGGCUCUGUAAGUUUUCGGUUAAAUCUGUACGCUUAACGUACAGGCUGCCGGGAAUACUGCAGAGCUAGGGAGUGGGAGAGGUAGACGGUACUCGGGAGGAAGUGGUAAAAUGCUUUGAUCUCUCGAUGACCACCUGUGGCGAAGGCGGUCUAUCAGAACACGUCCGACGGUGAGGGAUGAAAGCUGGGGGAGCAAACCGGAUUAGAAACCCCAGUAGUCC